RNAcentral lists this transfer RNA (72 nucleotides) under Bos taurus (domestic cattle). It matches the Rfam family "tRNA". From Rfam's summary of the family: Transfer RNA (tRNA) molecules are approximately 80 nucleotides in length. Their secondary structure includes four short double-helical elements and three loops (D, anti-codon, and T loops). Lineage: Eukaryota; Metazoa; Chordata; Mammalia; Artiodactyla; Bovidae. RNAcentral also lists the same sequence under 1 other name. The record is from Rfam by way of RNAcentral.
UCCCUGGCAGCCCAGAGGUUAGGACUUGGCACUUUCAAUGCAGUGACCCAGGUUCAAUCCCUGGCAGGGGAA